AAUGAAUUGCCUGACAAAAAGGGUUACCUUGAUAGGGUAAAUUAUGUAAUAAUUUUACAUUCAUUA
RNAcentral lists this transfer RNA (66 nucleotides) under Anastrepha fraterculus. RNAcentral describes it as "tRNA-Ile". The record is from RNAcentral. Lineage: Eukaryota; Metazoa; Arthropoda; Insecta; Diptera; Tephritidae.